RNAcentral lists this ribosomal RNA (494 nucleotides) under uncultured bacterium. Its description in RNAcentral is "partial 16S ribosomal RNA". It matches the Rfam family "Bacterial small subunit ribosomal RNA", at positions 28 to 507 of the family's 1533-position model. The record is from RNAcentral.
GACGAACGCUGGCGGCGUGCUUAACACAUGCAAGUCGAACGGAAAGGCCUGCUUUCCCUUGUGGAUUGCGGGUACUCGAGUGGCGAACGGGUGAGUAACACGUGAGUGAUCUGCCCCCAACUUGGGUAUAAGCCUGGGAAACUGGGUCUAAUUCCCGAUAGGACUGCAGGGUGGUGCCUGUGGUGGAAAACGAUUUUCUAGUGGUUGGGGAUGAGCUCGCGGCCUAUCAGCUUGUUGGUGGGGUAAUGGCCUACCAAGGCGGCGACGGGUAGCCGGCCUGGGAGGGUGGACGGGCGAAUUGGGACGGAGAUACGGCCCAGACGCCUACGGGAAGCAGCAGUGGGGAAGAUGGCGCAAUGGGCGGAAGCCUGAUGCAGCGACGCCGCGUGGGGGAUGACGGCCUUGGGGUUGUAAACUCCUUUCGACCGCGAGGAAGCCACCUGGUUGGAAGGGUGGUGACGGUAGUGGUAGAAGAAGCACCGGCUAACUACGUG